This 72-nucleotide transfer RNA is filed under the name Camelus bactrianus (Bactrian camel). It matches the Rfam family "tRNA". Rfam says of the family: Transfer RNA (tRNA) molecules are approximately 80 nucleotides in length. Their secondary structure includes four short double-helical elements and three loops (D, anti-codon, and T loops). RNAcentral also lists the same sequence under 2 other names. Lineage: Eukaryota; Metazoa; Chordata; Mammalia; Artiodactyla; Camelidae. The record is from Rfam by way of RNAcentral.
AAGGGUAUAGCUCAGUGGUAGAGCACGUGCUUAGUAUGCAAGAGGCCCUGGAUUCAAUCCUCAGUACCUCCU